GACGAACGCUGGCGGCGUGCUUAACACAUGCAAGUCGAACGGAAAGGCCCUGCUUUUGUGGGGUGCUCGAGUGGCGAACGGGUGAGUAACACGUGAGUAACCUGCCCUUGACUUUGGGAUAACUUCAGGAAACUGGGGCUAAUACCGGAUAGGAGCUCCUGCUGCAUGGUGGGGGUUGGAACGUUUCGGCGGUUGGGGAUGGACUCGCGGCUUAUCAGCUUGUUGGUGGGGUAGUGGCUUACCAAGGCUUUGACGGGUAGCCGGCCCGAGAGGGUGACCGGCCACAUUGGGACUGAGAUACGGCCCAGACUCCUAAGGGAGGCAGCAGUGGGGAAUAGUGAACAAUGGGCGGAAGCCUGAUGCAGCAACGCCGCGUGCGGGAUGACGGCCUUCGGGUUGUAAACCGCUUUCGCCUGUGACGAAGCGUGAGUGACGGUAAUGGGUAAAGAAGCACCGGCUAACUACGUG
RNAcentral lists this ribosomal RNA (468 nucleotides) under uncultured bacterium. RNAcentral's name for it is "partial 16S ribosomal RNA". It matches the Rfam family "Bacterial small subunit ribosomal RNA", at positions 28 to 507 of the family's 1533-position model. The record is from RNAcentral.